RNAcentral lists this ribosomal RNA (346 nucleotides) under uncultured eukaryote. RNAcentral's name for it is "SSU rRNA". It matches the Rfam family "Eukaryotic small subunit ribosomal RNA", at positions 594 to 945 of the family's 1831-position model. The record is from RNAcentral.
AUAGCGUAUAUUAAAGUUGUUGCAGUUAAAAAGCUCGUAGUUGAACUUCAGACCUGGCCGGGCGGUCCUCCUCACGGUGCGUACUGUCUGGCUGGGCCUUACCUCUUGGUGAGCCGGCAUGCCCUUUACUGGGUGUGUCGGGGAACCAGGACUUUUACCUUGAGAAAAUUAGAGUGUUCAAAGCAGGCCUACGCCCGAAUACAUUAGCAUGGCAUAAUAAAAUAGGACGUGCGUUUCUAUUUUGUUGGUUUCUAGAGUCGCCGUAAUGAUUAAUAGGGAUAGUUGGGGGCAUUAGUAUUCCGUUGCUAGAGGUGAAAUUCUUGGAUUUACGGAAGACUAACUUCUG